AGCAGCCGCGGUAAUUCCAGCUCCAAUAGCGUAUAUUAAAGUUGUUGCAGUUAAAAAGCUCGUAGUUGAAUUUCGGGAUUGACGUGAUGGUCGUGCCUUACGGGGUAUGAACUGUUGCUGUUGAUUUCUCACCUUCUGGAGAAACUUGAUGUCCUUAAUUGGGUGUCUUGCGGAUCCAGGACCUUUACCUUGAAAAAAUUUAGAGUGUUUAAAGCAGGCAUUUUGCUCGAAUACAUUAGCAUGGAAUAAUAGAAUAGGACGGCAUGGUUCUAUUUUGUUGGUUUCUAGGAUCACCGUAAUGAUUAAUAGGGAUAGUUGGGGGCAUUAGUAUUCAAUUGUCAGAGGUGAAAUUCUUGGAUUUAUUGAAGACUAACUACUGCGAAAGCAUUUGCCAAGGAUGUUUUCAUUAAUCAAGAACGAAAGUUAGGGGAUCGAAGACGAUCAGAUACCGUCGUAGUCUUAACCAUAAACUAUGCCGACUAGGAAUCAGACGAUGUUAAUUUUUUAAUGACUCGUUUGG
This 520-nucleotide unclassified non-coding RNA is filed under the name uncultured Entrophospora. Its description in RNAcentral is "SSU rRNA". It matches the Rfam family "Eukaryotic small subunit ribosomal RNA", at positions 569 to 1083 of the family's 1831-position model. The record is from RNAcentral. Lineage: Eukaryota; Fungi; Glomeromycota; Glomeromycetes; Entrophosporales; Entrophosporaceae.